UCUUCUCAACAGCUUUACUGGGGUGUAACAAACACACGAUAAACUGCGCAUAUUCCAGUGUUCAUGUGGAUGAGUUUGGACAUAUGCACACACUUCCGAAACCACCAGCACAAUCAAGACAGCAGACAUAUCCAUCGCCCCCAAGGGUGUCCUUGUGUCUUUUUGUCAUUCAUCCCUCCCGGCCGCCCCAUCCACACUCCCAUCGCCUGCCGACUGUGGCUGAUCUGCUUUCUGCGGCUGUGGAUUAGUUUGCGUUCUCUACAAUUUUCUGAAGCACCAGUUAGCCCAGAUGCUUCUCAUCUUUGGAGUUGAGCUGCAGGCUGGAGACCUGGAAGGCCCUCGCAGCGCCUGCUCCCAUCCUCUCACCUCACGAAAGCGCAGGAAUCUCCAUGAGGGCAGGGGAUUUUGUCUGUUUCAUUCACAAUGUGUUCCCAGAGCUCAGCACAGUGUCAGGCACACACUAGGUAACAGCACCUCGACUUCCUACUGAAGAACCCCCUCUUCCCUUUUCUCAGUCCAUGAGGCUGGGGGUGCCCAGAGGCCUCUGUCUCCAGGGGUGGACAUGUGACCGGGUCUUGCUCUAGUGAUUGGUCCAGGGAUGGGCACAUGACUGAGCCUGCCCAAUGAAACUUGAUCUUGGGACUUCAGGGUUGGCCAUGAUUUGUGAAGGAGAUGCCAUUUUCCAUUGGAUGGACAGUGAGCAAGUGAACGCUUAGAGAAGAAGAGGACAAAACAAGGGAAAAGCCUGCCUGACAGGAAGCAGCACAGAGCUGGACAGGCUUUGAACUCCUGGAUCCCACUGUACCUGAAAUUAGGCACCUUCAACUUUCUAGUUAUGUGAGCCACUGUCUUUCCCAUUUUUGGCUGAAAACAGUUGGGACUGGCUUUCUGUCCCUUGCAUACAGAAGGUGCUGACUGACCCCUGCCCCAUGGAAGAAGAUACUCCAGGCAGAGGAAAUAGUGUGUAUAGACACCCCUAAGCGAAUGCCAAGCGGGGCACUCAUGUACCAAGAAGAAGGAGGAGGAGGCACCUGGGAGCUGAGCUUAAGAGUUAGUCGGGUGGUCAAGGUGGGAGAAGGGGGUAUCUUUAGCAGAGGGAACAACCAUUGCAAAAGCUUGGAGGGGUGACUAGUUAGUGAAGAUCAACUGUGUGCUGAGCUCGUGUUGGGUGGCAAGGGACACAGACGAAAAGGGCACGGUGGAACCCAGCUACUUCUCACCUGCUCCAGCGCAGUGCAGGCUUGUCUGCUUUUGGAGCCGAGCCUGGACACCUCCGUGUCCUUCCCCCGGCAGAGUGCUGCCAGCACGCUGUCUCAGACUCUCCAGCAUCUCCUGGUUGAUGUGCAUCAUGGGGACCACACAAGAUUAUUUUAUAGGCUGCACAGGCAAAGCAUAAAAUCACCUCGGGUCACAUAGCGAGAGUUAUUCUCUCUGCAAAUUCUUUACAGUCUUUCCUUUAUAUCCAGAAGAGUCUCUGUGUGGUGCUAACUUGCCUCGAAGACCAAAUAAUUGCUAGUCUCCCUUUGUGAAAAGGAGAGCAGGUGUCAGGCUCAUUCAUGUCUCAGGCACACAAUUGUAUCUAGCUAGACUUUUCAAAAUGUCCUAUAGAGCUGCAGCACAUAUGAAUGAGGUGUCCAGCUGGUCCCAAACCUGUAAUCGGCACCCCAGUGAGCAGACUGGACAUCCCCACCCCCACAGCUGCCCUUUCUCCCCUCCACUCAUGUUCCCUCUAGGGCCACCACGAUCCCGACUUGUAUCACCACAGAUGAGUUUCACAUGUUUUUGAAUUUUACAUCUUAUCUGUUUUCUGUUCCUAUACAAGUUUGCCUUUUUUGAAUUCCAUAUAAGUGGGAUUCUACAAUGUGUUAUCUCAAUUUGAGUCUGUUUUUUUUUUCCUGCUCAGCAUGAUGUUUUUGAGAUGCA
Molecule: long non-coding RNA, 1923 nt
Organism: Homo sapiens (human)
Lineage: Eukaryota; Metazoa; Chordata; Mammalia; Primates; Hominidae
Product: long intergenic non-protein coding RNA 1270
Source: Ensembl